This is a long non-coding RNA of Bombus terrestris (buff-tailed bumblebee), 2512 nucleotides long. RefSeq lists it as uncharacterized. The transcript has 3 exons. The record is from RefSeq and is a predicted model, not a curated record. NCBI's taxonomy places the organism in Eukaryota, Metazoa, Arthropoda, Insecta, Hymenoptera, Apidae.
AAUUAUGGAUCAACGAGCCAAAUCCAGUCAGUUCAACUGGUCCAAGCAGCAGCGUAUGUUGCGCGUAACGGAAUCUGUGUGGCGAGAACAGCGAUUCGUUUACUUAAAAUUUAAAGUGAUCACGGGAUACAGCGACGUGGCGUGUGCAUCGGCACGUAUACCGAAAUGUGCGCUGGUCUAUGUAACAGGGCUGAUUUGCAAGGAAGGAACAAAAUAAUAAAGCGCAAUUGCGCGAGCCCUCGAUUAUUUCAUUGCACGUUGACGUCAAGUUAUACACCGACCAAUCAUCGAGCUCGCGCAUCGACGAGCCCCCAGUGAAGAUCGACGAACACGCGUACAAUUUCCUCACGAUUUUAAUGAUCAAGUCUCAUGGAAGCUCGAUAUUUGACCUUCCCUCUUUCAAUGACACGCUAGUUAGUCAAAUAAAAUUCAUUGUUUCAAGUAUCUUUUUAUAUUAUAUCGUUUGCUAAUUUGUUGACCGCUUUCGAAUCGAUCGGUAACUUUCUUUUUGAAGAUCGAAUUCGUGAAUCCAUAAGUGGACUGCGGAUUCAUAUUUUCGAUGGAAAUUCAUAUUUUUAUAUAUACAAAUGAAAAGAUGGUAUCUAGAUAGAGACUUAUAUUCCAUUCCUCAUAUAUUAUAAAGAUGCAAUAUAUUAUAUUUUUAUACGUAUGCGUACAUGUAAAAUAAAAUUAACAACGGCUUAUAAUAUUUAUUUAUAAAACGAGAUAUAUAUCACUAGAAGCAUUCUUCGAACGUGCGUCUUAUUUAACGAUUUCACGAAGAAACUUUAUAUUAAAUUUACGUAUACUUUUACAAUAUUUUAUAUAUUUCUCCGUAUUAUGCAUACUUUCUGUAUUUCUAUACAUUUCGACUUCCUAUAAAUGUAUAAGCAUAUGUUAGUUUAUCGAUAACUCGCAAAAUCGUUAACUCAUCUAAUGAAAACAAAUGUAAUCAAUUUGUUUUUCCAAUUAAGUUUUUAUCAUUGUCUAUGAGGAGAAAGUUGCAUUUAAACAAUGAUCAAAAAAGACGAGAGUAAGCCGGAAUUUAGGCCAGUGACAAAACGAAACGAAGGUACAGCUGCCAACUUUUACUCGAAUCUCAUCUUCUCGGUCGAGGUUCUCUACUACCUACGCGACUAUCCGACAUUCGACCCAUGACGUUGCAACGUGACGUUCUUCCCGCGCUUCUUGCGUGUUUCAUGCAACAUUCGAAUUAUUGCUGUUUCACGGUUUUGAAAUUUUGAAGCUUAUCGUUCAUUUCUCAGGAUUUUAUAAUCUCGAAAGAUCAUACUAAUACUGUUGCGAUAAACAGCGGGCUGAAAAUCACACCAAUAUAAGUCAUGAUUCUGAAAAUGUAGAUCUAGUCACAUAUUUCAAUUUCGAAAAGAGUCGUUCUUUUUGUUUCAUAAUUAAUUAAAUAUUAUAAUCAGAAUGCGAAUGUUUAUGCAUUUAUAGGAAAUUAUAAUAUACAAAAAUGUACAAAAUAAUAUAACAGGAGCUUUAAGAUGCGUAAAUUCAUUAAACCAAUUUCAUAUAAACUUCAUAUAACCGCAGUUCAACAAAAAGGCUCUCCCGUAGUCUACGAAAUUAAAGUCUUCUAAUUUUCUAACCAGACAAUCUCCGUAGUAGCAGGAUUACUUGCCAAUUUCUUGGUCUUUUUUUAACUUCUACGAAGAUUUUUUCCUCAAUACUAUCGACUAUACGAAUUGAAGUUGCCGCGACUGAAAUUGCAUCGUCAGUUAGCACACAUCUCAUCGUACGAGAUUGUACAAAGUCUCCUAGCGCUUCUCAUUACGUCACAAGAGUUAAAAUAACCUGCUCAUUGGUAGUAGACGAUCGAACAUUCGUCACGACCAUGGUAUCGCUCAAAUAAAACCACCAUCGAAACACGCGAGAACAGUAAAACCUGCAGAUACUCGAUAGUAUGACCUUUUGAACUUGGCAUCGAUACUCCAAUCAUCGUGAUACGUAUACAUACUUACAUAUGUGUAAAAGCAAUGUAUGAAUCGAAUAGUGCAAGAUUGGAAUAAGAAAAGUUCGAAGAUCUCCAAAAGGAUUAGGAUAUAUUUAGAUUCUUUGUAUAACUACGUCAAAUCUUGGGGGAGAAUCGUAGUUGUUAAUUAAAGAUGCAAAAGCACAAAUGAAAAGGAAGGAGAAGGUGGAGGAAUGAGAAUCGCUGAGGAUCGAGCCCCCUUGGUUGAACCAAUCGCAAGACGCCUCGAAACCAACGCCUACCAAUUCGACCAAUCGGAGAUUAAGACUUCCGAAGGCGCGACCGCGCGAGGCAAACAUACCUUUGUCCAUACUAUCGGCGAACCAGAUGGAAGAAAGAGGAAAAAUUAGCACGUAACAAACCCACUCACACCCCCGGUUAACCACUCUUAAGAUCGGAGCAAACGAAUCGCACAAUCUUGAAAGCGGAAACACACGCGAUAUAAAUAGCUAUCAACGAAAUGCUACAGAUAUUAAACACGCAGUAGAUACCGUUGAUGACGAAAUCAAAUUAAUCGAU